GCCUAAAUAGCUCAGUGGUAGAGCAACCGGCUGUUAACCGGUUGGUCGUAGGUUCGAGCCCUACUUUAGGCGCCA
This 75-nucleotide transfer RNA is filed under the name Erysipelotrichaceae bacterium. RNAcentral's name for it is "tRNA-Asn". It matches the Rfam family "tRNA". From Rfam's summary of the family: Transfer RNA (tRNA) molecules are approximately 80 nucleotides in length. Lineage: Bacteria; Bacillati; Bacillota; Erysipelotrichia; Erysipelotrichales; Erysipelotrichaceae. The record is from RNAcentral.